UACGGGGGGGGCAAGCGUUGUUCGGAAUUACUGGGCGUAAAGGGCUUGUAGGCGGCCAACUAAGUCCGACGUGAAAUCCCCAGGCUUAACCUGGGAACUGCGUCGGAUACUGGAUGGCUUGAAUUCGGGAGAGGGAUGCAGAAUUCCAGGUGUAGCGGUGAAAUGCGUAGAUAUCAGGAGGAACACCGGUGGCGAAGGCGGUUCUCUGGGCAUGUCCUGACGCUGAGGAGCGAAAGUGUGGGGAGCGAACAGG
This 253-nucleotide ribosomal RNA is filed under the name uncultured bacterium. Its description in RNAcentral is "partial 16S ribosomal RNA". It matches the Rfam family "Bacterial small subunit ribosomal RNA", at positions 524 to 776 of the family's 1533-position model. The record is from RNAcentral.